UACGAAGGGGGCUAGCGUUGCUCGGAAUUACUGGGCGUAAAGCGCACGUAGGCGGCUUUCUAAGUCGGGGGUGAAAUCCUGGAGCUCAACUCCAGAACUGCCUUCGAUACUGGAGAGCUCGAGUCCGGGAGAGGUGAGUGGAACUGCGAGUGUAGAGGUGAAAUUCGUAGAUAUUCGCAAGAACACCAGUGGCGAAGGCGGCUCACUGGCCCGGUACUGACGCUGAGGUGCGAAGGCUAGGGUAGCAAACAGG
Molecule: ribosomal RNA, 253 nt
Filed under: uncultured bacterium
Lineage: Bacteria
Description: partial 16S ribosomal RNA
Rfam family: Bacterial small subunit ribosomal RNA
Source: RNAcentral